RNAcentral lists this ribosomal RNA (469 nucleotides) under uncultured bacterium. RNAcentral's name for it is "bacterial SSU rRNA". It matches the Rfam family "Bacterial small subunit ribosomal RNA", at positions 28 to 507 of the family's 1533-position model. The record is from RNAcentral.
GAUGAACGCUAGCGGCAGGCCUACUUUUUGCAAGUCGAACGGUGUACCAAUACACAGUGGCGCACGGGUGCGUAACACGUAUGCAACCUACCUAUCAUUGGGGGAUAGCCUUUGGAAACGGAAAUUAAUACCGCAUAAAACAGUAGCAUGGCAUCAUGCAGCUGUUAAAGCUUUGGCGAUGAUAGAUGGGCAUGCGUCCAAUUAGUUAGUUGGUGAGGUAACGGCUCACCAAGACAAUGAUUGGUAGGGGAUCUGAGAGGAUAAUCCCCCACACUGGCACUGAAAUACGGGCCAAACUCCUACGGGAGGCAGCAGUAGGGAAUAUUGGGCAAUGGACGGAAGUCUGACCCACCCAUGCCGCGUGCAGGAAAAAGGCGUUAUGCGUUGUAAACUGCUUUUUUAUAGGAAGAAGGAAACCUUGCGAGGUUUGGUGACGGUACUAUAAAAAUAAGCACCGGCUAACUCCGUG